This 938-nucleotide ribosomal RNA is filed under the name uncultured organism. Its description in RNAcentral is "bacterial SSU rRNA". It matches the Rfam family "Bacterial small subunit ribosomal RNA", at positions 1 to 917 of the family's 1533-position model. The record is from RNAcentral.
UGGAUCCAGACUUUGAUCAUGGCUCAGGACGAACGCUGGCGGCGUGCUUAACACAUGCAAGUCGAACGGACGGACUCGAUAGCUUGCUAUUGGGAAAGUUAGUGGCAAACGGGUGAGUAACGCGUAGGCAACCUGCCCUUCAGAUGGGGACAACACUUCGAAAGAGGCGCUAAUACCGAAUGACGUAUCCAUUCCGCAUGGAGAGGAUACCAAAGGCCGGGCAAUCGGUCACUGAAGGAUGGGCCUGCGUCUGAUUAGCUAGUUGGUGGGGUAACGGCCCACCAAGGCGACGAUCAGUAGCCGGUCUGAGAGGAUGAACGGCCACAUUGGGACUGAGACACGGCCCAAACUCCUACGGGAGGCAGCAGUGGGGAAUCUUCCGCAAUGGGCGCAAGCCUGACGGAGCAACGCCGCGUGAGUGAAGAAGGUUUUCGGAUCGUAAAGCUCUGUUGAGAGGGACGAGAAGCAAGGCUAGGAAAUGAGCUUUGUAGGACGGUACCUCUCGAGGAAGCCACGGCUAACUACGUGCCAGCAGCCGCGGUAAUACGUAGGUGGCGAGCGUUGUCCGGAAUUAUUGGGCGUAAAGGGAGCGCAGGUGGGAAAGUAAGUCAGUCUUAAAAGUGCGGGGCUCAACCCCGUGAGGGGAUUGAAACUACUUUUCUUGAGUGCAGGAGAGGAAAGCGGAAUUCCUAGUGUAGCGGUGAAAUGCGUAGAUAUUAGGAGGAACACCAGUGGCGAAGGCGGCUUUCUGGACUGUAACUGACACUGAGGCUCGAAAGCCAGGGGAGCGAACGGGAUUAGAUACCCCGGUAGUCCUGGCCGUAAACGAUGGAUACUAGGUGUAGGAGGUAUCGACCCCUUCUGUGCCGGAGUUAACGCAAUAAGUAUCCCGCCUGGGGAGUACGGUCGCAAGACUGCAACUCAAAGGAAUUGACGGA